CAAACGACUCUCGGCAACGGAUAUCUCGGCUCAUGCAUCGAUGAAGAACGUAGCGAAAUGCGAUACUUGGUGUGAAUUGCAGAAUCCCGUGAACCAUCGAGUCUUUGAACGCAAGUUGCGCCCAAAGCCAUUCGGCCGAGGGCACGUCUGCCUGGGCGUCACGC
RNAcentral lists this ribosomal RNA (164 nucleotides) under Goodenia psammophila. RNAcentral describes it as "5.8S ribosomal RNA". It matches the Rfam family "5.8S ribosomal RNA". Rfam says of the family: 5.8S ribosomal RNA (5.8S rRNA) is a component of the large subunit of the eukaryotic ribosome. It is transcribed by RNA polymerase I as part of the 45S precursor that also contains 18S and 28S rRNA. The record is from RNAcentral. Lineage: Eukaryota; Viridiplantae; Streptophyta; Magnoliopsida; Asterales; Goodeniaceae.